ACAGUGGGCGGGUGCUAUAAUGCAGUCGAGCGACAGAUAAGGAGCUUGCUCCUUUGACGUUAGCGGCGGACGGGUGAGUAACACGUGGAUAACCUACCUAUAAGACUGGGAUAACUUCGGGAAACCGGAGCUAAUACCGGAUAACAUAUUGAACCGCAUGGUUCAAUAGUGAAAGGCGGCUUUGCUGUCACUUAUAGAUGGAUCCGCGCCGUAUUAGCUAGUUGGUAAGGAAACGGCUUA
This 240-nucleotide ribosomal RNA is filed under the name Staphylococcus sp. RNAcentral's name for it is "partial 16S ribosomal RNA". It matches the Rfam family "Bacterial small subunit ribosomal RNA", at positions 35 to 267 of the family's 1533-position model. The record is from RNAcentral. Lineage: Bacteria; Bacillati; Bacillota; Bacilli; Caryophanales; Staphylococcaceae.